This 403-nucleotide ribosomal RNA is filed under the name uncultured bacterium. RNAcentral describes it as "bacterial SSU rRNA". It matches the Rfam family "Bacterial small subunit ribosomal RNA", at positions 356 to 776 of the family's 1533-position model. The record is from RNAcentral.
GGGGAAUCUUAGACAAUGGGCGCAAGCCUGAUCUAGCCAUGCCGCGUGUGUGAUGAAGGUCUUAGGAUCGUAAAGCACUUUCGCCAGGGAUGAUAAUGACAGUACCUGGUAAAGAAACCCCGGCUAACUCCGUGCCAGCAGCCGCGGUAAUACGGAGGGGGUUAGCGUUGUUCGGAAUUACUGGGCGUAAAGCGUACGUAGGCGGAUCAGAAAGUUAGGGGUGAAAUCCCGAGGCUCAACCUCGGAACUGCCUCUAAAACUCCUGGUCUUGAGUUCGAGAGAGGUGAGUGGAAUUCCAAGUGUAGAGGUGAAAUUCGUAGAUAUUUGGAGGAACACCAGUGGCGAAGGCGGCUCACUGGCUCGAUACUGACGCUGAGGUACGAAAGUGUGGGGAGCAAACAGG